GACAGAGGGGGCAAGCGUUGCUCGGAAUUACUGGGCGUAAAGGGCGCGUAGGCGGGAUGGCAAGUCGGUCGUGAAAUCCCUCGGCUCAACCGAGGAACGUCGAUCGAUACUGCUGUUCUUGAGGAUUGCAGAGGAGACUGGAAUUCCCGGUGUAGCGGUGAAAUGUGUAGAGAUCGGGAGGAACACCGGUGGCGAAGGCGGGUCUCUGGGCCGUAACUGACGCUGAGGAGCGAAAGCAUGGGUAGCGAACAGG
Molecule: ribosomal RNA, 253 nt
Filed under: uncultured bacterium
Lineage: Bacteria
Description: partial 16S ribosomal RNA
Rfam family: Bacterial small subunit ribosomal RNA
Source: RNAcentral